AUUCCAGCUCCAAUAGUGUAUAUUAAAGUUGUUGCAGUUAAAACGCUCGUAGUCGGAUUUCGGGGCGGGCCGACCGGUCUGCCGAUGGGUAUGCACUGGCCGGCGCGUCCUUCCACCCGGAGACCGCGCCUACUCUUAACUGAGCGGGCGAGGGAGACGGGUCUUUUACUUUGAAAAAAUCAGAGUGUUUCAAGCAGGCAGUCGCUCUUGCAUGGAUUAGCAUGGGAUAAUGAAAUAGGACUCUGGUGCUAUUUUGUUGGUUUCGAACACCGGAGUAAUGAUUAACAGGGACAGUCAGGGGCACUCGUAUUCCGCCGAGAGAGGUGAAAUUCUCAGACCAGCGGAAGACGAACCACUGCGAAAGCAUUUGCCAGGGAUGUUUUCAUUA
RNAcentral lists this ribosomal RNA (388 nucleotides) under Gephyrocapsa sp. Its description in RNAcentral is "partial small subunit ribosomal RNA". It matches the Rfam family "Eukaryotic small subunit ribosomal RNA", at positions 582 to 975 of the family's 1831-position model. The record is from RNAcentral. Lineage: Eukaryota; Haptophyta; Isochrysidales; Noelaerhabdaceae.